This 397-nucleotide unclassified non-coding RNA is filed under the name uncultured Orbiliaceae. RNAcentral's name for it is "sequence contains ITS2". The stretch from base 1 to 154 matches the Rfam family "5.8S ribosomal RNA". The record is from RNAcentral. Lineage: Eukaryota; Fungi; Ascomycota; Orbiliomycetes; Orbiliales.
AACUUUCAACAACGGAUCACUUGGCUCUCGCAUCGAUGAAGAACGCAGCGAAAUGCGAUAGUUAAUGUGAAUUGCAGAAUUCAGUGAAUCAUCGAGUCUUUGAACGCACAUUGCGCCCAUUGGUAUUCCGAUGGGCACGUCUGUUUGAGCGUCAUUGCAACACCUCAGCCCGCUCUGGCGGUUUGGUCUUGGGCUCGGGCGCCUCCCUUAACUGGGAAGCCCGGCUUUAAAGUUGCACGCUCCGCGGGCCUGACCGCUCAGAAAACAUAGUAUGACUGCUAAUUGUUCCAUGAGUCCGGUCGAGGUUUCCGCCUGAACAAACUUCUUAUAACUAAGGUUUGACCUCAGAUCAGACGAGGAUACCCGCUGAACUUAAGCAUAUCAAUAAGCGGAGGCU